This 409-nucleotide ribosomal RNA is filed under the name uncultured Sphingobium sp. RNAcentral's name for it is "bacterial SSU rRNA". It matches the Rfam family "Bacterial small subunit ribosomal RNA", at positions 355 to 774 of the family's 1533-position model. Lineage: Bacteria; Pseudomonadati; Pseudomonadota; Alphaproteobacteria; Sphingomonadales; Sphingobiaceae. The record is from RNAcentral.
UAGGGAAUAUUGGACAAUGGGGCAACCGUAGCAUCCAGCCAAUGCCGCAGCUGAGUGAUGAAGGCCUUAGGGUUGUAAAGCUCUUUUACCCGGGAUGAUAAUGACAGUACCGGGAGAAUAAGCCCCGCUAGCUACCCGUGCCAGCAGCCGCGGUAAUACGGAGGGGCGUAGCGUUGUUCGGAAUUACUGGGCGUAAAGCGCACGUAGGCGGCGAUUUAAGUCAGAGGUGAAAGCCCGGGGCUCAACCCCGCAGAUAGCCUUUGAGACUGGAUUGCUUGAACAUCGGAGAGGUGAGUGGAAUUCCGAGUGUAGAGGUGAAAUUCGUAGAUAUUCGGAAGAACACCAGUGGCGAAGGCGGCUCACUUGGACGAUUGUUGACGCUGAGGUGCGAAAGCGUGGGGAGCAAACA